RNAcentral lists this transfer RNA (76 nucleotides) under bacterium TMED88. RNAcentral describes it as "tRNA-Gly". It matches the Rfam family "tRNA". From Rfam's summary of the family: Transfer RNA (tRNA) molecules are approximately 80 nucleotides in length. Their secondary structure includes four short double-helical elements and three loops (D, anti-codon, and T loops). Further hydrogen bonds mediate the characteristic L-shaped molecular structure. tRNAs have two regions of fundamental functional importance: the anti-codon, which is responsible for specific mRNA codon recognition, and the 3' end, to which the tRNAs corresponding amino acid is attached (by aminoacyl-tRNA synthetases). tRNAs cope with the degeneracy of the genetic code in two manners: having more than one tRNA (with a specific anti-codon) for a particular amino acid; and 'wobble' base-pairing, i.e. permitting non-standard base-pairing at the 3rd anti-codon position. RNAcentral also lists the same sequence under 4 other names. The record is from RNAcentral.
GCACGAGUAGCUCAGCUGGUAGAGCAUCACGUUGCCAACGUGAGGGUCGCCGGUUCGAAUCCGGUCUCGUGCUCCA